Molecule: transfer RNA, 130 nt
Filed under: Gloeothece verrucosa PCC 7822
Lineage: Bacteria; Bacillati; Cyanobacteriota; Cyanophyceae; Chroococcales; Aphanothecaceae
Description: Cyanothece sp. PCC 7822 tRNA
Rfam family: tRNA
About the family: Transfer RNA (tRNA) molecules are approximately 80 nucleotides in length.
Source: Rfam by way of RNAcentral
GGCGGAGUAGCUCAGUUUGGUAGAGCAUCGCAAUUGAGCUACCUUAUUUAUCCCUUGCCUAACUAGGCCGAAGAAUGAGGGUUAUCGAUUACAUAAACGAGUGUCGCGGGUUCAAAUCCCGCCUUCGCCC